Hibiscus syriacus is the source of this 103-nucleotide small nuclear RNA. Lineage: Eukaryota; Viridiplantae; Streptophyta; Magnoliopsida; Malvales; Malvaceae. The record is from RefSeq and is a predicted model, not a curated record.
GUCUCGUCAGGGACAUUUGAUAAAAUUGGAACGAUACAUAGAAGAUUAACAUGGCCUCUGCGCAAGGAUGACAUGCAUAAAUCAAGAAAUGGUUUAAAUAUUU